This 807-nucleotide ribosomal RNA is filed under the name uncultured bacterium. RNAcentral's name for it is "bacterial SSU rRNA". It matches the Rfam family "Bacterial small subunit ribosomal RNA", at positions 62 to 862 of the family's 1533-position model. The record is from RNAcentral.
UCGAGGGGCAGCGAGUAGAUUGCUUGCAAUCUACGUCGGCGACCGGCGCACGGGUGCGUAACGCGUAUGCAACCUACCCAUUACAGGGGGAUAACACUGAGAAAUCGGUACUAAUACCCCAUAACAUCCAGGGAGGCAUCUUCUUGGGUUGAAAACUCCGGUGGUAAUGGAUGGGCAUGCGUUGUAUUAGUUAGUUGGUGGGGUAACGGCUCACCAAGACGACGAUACAUAGGGGGACUGAGAGGUUAACCCCCCACAUUGGUACUGAGACACGGACCAAACUCCUACGGGAGGCAGCAGUGAGGAAUAUUGGUCAAUGGACGCAAGUCUGAACCAGCCAUGCCGCGUGCAGGAAGACGGCUCUAUGAGUUGUAAACUGCUUUUGUACGAGGGUAAACGCAGAUACGUGUAUCUGUCUGAAAGUAUCGUACGAAUAAGGAUCGGCUAACUCCGUGCCAGCAGCCGCGGUAAUACGGAGGAUUCAAGCGUUAUCCGGAUUUAUUGGGUUUAAAGGGUGCGUAGGCGGUCGGAUAAGUUAGAGGUGAAAUCCCGGGGCUCAACUUCGGAAUUGCCUCUGAUACUGUUCGGCUAGAGAGUAGUUGCGGUAGGCGGAAUGUAUGGUGUAGCGGUGAAAUGCUUAGAGAUCAUACAGAACACCGAUUGCGAAGGCAGCUUACCAAGCUACUUCUGACGUUGAGGCACGAAAGCGUGGGGAGCAAACAGGAUUAGAUACCCUGGUAGUCCACGCAGUAAACGAUGAUAACUCGUUGUCGGCGAUACAAUGUCGGUGACUAAGCGAAAGCGAUA